Molecule: ribosomal RNA, 253 nt
Filed under: uncultured bacterium
Lineage: Bacteria
Description: partial 16S ribosomal RNA
Rfam family: Bacterial small subunit ribosomal RNA
Source: RNAcentral
UACGUAGGGUGCGAGCGUUAAUCGGAAUUACUGGGCGUAAAGCGUGCGCAGGCGGUUGUGCAAGACAGAUGUGAAAUCCCCGGGCUCAACCUGGGAACUGCAUUUGUGACUGCACGGCUGGAGUGCGGCAGAGGGGGAUGGAAUUCCGCGUGUAGCAGUGAAAUGCGUAGAUAUGCGGAGGAACACCGAUGGCGAAGGCAAUCCCCUGGGCCUGCACUGACGCUCAUGCACGAAAGCGUGGGGAGCAAAAGGG